Molecule: ribosomal RNA, 418 nt
Filed under: uncultured bacterium
Lineage: Bacteria
Description: bacterial SSU rRNA
Rfam family: Bacterial small subunit ribosomal RNA
Source: RNAcentral
GAGUUUGAUCGUGGCUCAGGACGAACGCUGGCGGCGUGCUUAACACAUGCAAGUCGAACGGUGAUCCCUGGCUUGCUGGGUGAUCAGUGGCGAACGGGUGAGUAACACGUGAGUAACCUGCCCAUGGCUCUGGGAUAACCUGGGGAAACCGAGGCUAAUACCGGAUAUGACGCGCACAGGCAUCUGUUGCGUGUGGAAAGUUUUUCGGCCAUGGAUGGGCUCGCGGCCUAUCAGCUUGUUGGUGGGGUAAUGGCCUACCAAGGCGACGACGGGUAGCCGGCCUGAGAGGGCGAUCGGCCACACUGGGACUGAGACACGGCCCAGACUCCUACGGGAGGCAGCAGUGGGGAAUAUUGCGCAAUGGGCGAAAGCCUGACGCAGCGACGCCGCGUGAGGGAUGAAGGCCUCGGUUGUAACC